GUCCUGGUUAGAAACUUAAGGUCCACAGCAUAUAGACUUGCACUUGCUUCUAUCGUCCUCGAACAAUGGGAAGAUGAUGUUGAAUAUAUGUGAUUAUACAAGGGGUUCGCGAUGGUUAUUUACAGUAUUUAUGCAGAAAACUCUCCAUGAAAAGAGACGAAAAAAUUCCAAUCUCAUGUUUGGUAUGUAUUUUUUUUCAUUAAGAUUGUAUUUAUCCAAAGAGCAAUUAGUCUUAGUUGAAACUCUGAUGUGAGACUCUGCUACAUUGUAUUUGGUUUAGUUUU
This 284-nucleotide unclassified non-coding RNA is filed under the name Hevea brasiliensis (rubber tree). The record is from RNAcentral. Lineage: Eukaryota; Viridiplantae; Streptophyta; Magnoliopsida; Malpighiales; Euphorbiaceae.